Pocillopora damicornis (cauliflower coral) is the source of this 770-nucleotide long non-coding RNA. Lineage: Eukaryota; Metazoa; Cnidaria; Anthozoa; Scleractinia; Pocilloporidae. The record is from RefSeq and is a predicted model, not a curated record.
GUUGGGAAAAAACACAUCCAUUUCUCGCCAACCGAGGCGGUUGCAUCGAAAGAUACAUUCUUGUGUAUUCUGGUCAUCAUUUCAACCAAUCGUUAUAAACUUAAAACCAAUUUAUCAGCGAAGGAGGUGAAGCAUCCGAUUCACGCAGACGCUUUCGGUUAGAUUCUAAAAGAAUAAAGCUUUUGAGGCGAAACGUUUGGCGCCAUCUUGGAUUUUUGGAAGGAGUGCACGAAGACAAGCUCACUAAGCAGAGAACUCUGCAAGACUACUGGGGAAAGGACAUUUCUGAGUUAGAGAAAAAGUCAAGGGCUUUGAAGACUUUAUGACAAGAGCUCAGAUAGCACUGUGGUCUGCUAAGUCCGUUGGACUAGAAGUUGAGUCUAUUGCCACGAAAGAAGUCAAGACUGGAAGCAAACACAAUGCAAAAAUGGUCAGUGAUGAGCAACAAGAAAACACUGCUACAGGGCUUGACUCCCUUUUAAAAGAGGAAAAGGAAAAAUUGGAUCAAAUUUUAUUUCUUUUAGACAAAUUUUUUGUAGGAGACUUGUUUUAUCAUGAGCUCUCCAUGAUUAAUGAUGAUCUUCCAAAAUCAUAUCUAAUCAAGCAAUGGCAUGACAUGAGCCAUAUUAUAUCCACACCUGGGAGAGCUGAGGGUGCUGAAGUUUCAUUCAAGAACUUCUCAAGGAAAGAGUGCAAGAUUUAAUUAACCAAAAUCCAGAAUUUGAUUUUGAAAAUGAAAGAGUAAAGGUUAAAAUAUCAGGGGAUGGGGC